GGCUAACUCCGUGCCAGCAGCCGCGGUAAUACGGAGGGGGCUAGCGUUGUUCGGAAUUACUGGGCGUAAAGGGUGCGUAGGCGGUCCCGUAAGUUAGGUGUGAAAUCCUUGGGCUUAACCCAGGAACUGCAUUUAAAACUGCGGGACUCGAACGUGAGAGAGGGCAAUGGAAUUUUUGGUGUAGGGGUGAAAUCCGUAGAUAUCAAGAGGAACGUCAGGGGCGAAAGCGAUUGCCUGGAUCACAGUUGACGCUGAGGCACGAAAGCGUGGGAGCAAACA
Molecule: ribosomal RNA, 279 nt
Filed under: Ehrlichia sennetsu
Lineage: Bacteria; Pseudomonadati; Pseudomonadota; Alphaproteobacteria; Rickettsiales; Anaplasmataceae
Description: Neorickettsia sennetsu partial 16S ribosomal RNA
Rfam family: Bacterial small subunit ribosomal RNA
Source: RNAcentral